This 507-nucleotide ribosomal RNA is filed under the name Triticum aestivum (bread wheat). RNAcentral's name for it is "partial small subunit ribosomal RNA". The record is from RNAcentral. Lineage: Eukaryota; Viridiplantae; Streptophyta; Magnoliopsida; Poales; Poaceae.
AUGAAGAUGGUGGACAUGCUAGGGAACGCUAGUUCCUAUAUACUGAUUCGUCCAGUCCGACACCUGCGUCCAGCAGCCGUCCAUGCUUGUGAUGGAAGAGGCCGGUGUUCAGCCCCUGGUGAAGGUCGUGAAGUUCAUGGUGUACCUCUGAGUCCAAGCCGUCGCUAUGUGGAUGGAACUUCAAAAUCCAAGACAUCGUGUACGUCUGCGUCCAAGUUGUCGCUAUGUUGGAUGGAACUUCAAAAUCCAGGGCAUCAUGGAGUUGUGGAGAAGAACAAUGCUAGGAUUCUCUCGAGGAAGUUUUUUCUCUCGAGGGAGUUUUGGUGCAUGGGUGGAGCAGGAAACCCCAAUGAUAUCUUCAAGCAGAUAUUUAUUUCCAGUAAAAUAUGGGUACGGAGGACAACUUCCUUUUUUGAGUUGGGAUGUAAUUUUAUUCUUUUUCAUACCUUCCUAUGUAAGGGACGUGAACGGUCUUUUUUAAAAGAUCUUCCUAUGUAUGGGAUCUGA